Dermacentor andersoni is the source of this 620-nucleotide long non-coding RNA. RefSeq lists it as uncharacterized. The record is from RefSeq and is a predicted model, not a curated record. Lineage: Eukaryota; Metazoa; Arthropoda; Arachnida; Ixodida; Ixodidae.
GAGAGACGACAGGUUCAAAGUUACCCUUUCUUUCGAAUCCUGCGUCUCUAAACGUUCACGCAGGCGUGUGUUUCUUUCGUCUGUUCAAGCUGAAUGAAGCGUUCGAUAACAAAGUCAUCUGGAACACGAAGAACGUUUACUUAAGACGGUCCUGGGGCUUUUAUACUUUGGCCUUGGCGCGGCCACUGCGAAGGGCAGCCUCCGGUCACGUAUGGUGCUGGACGCCACUCAACUCCAAGUCGGUGACAUGAUUCCUGAAGAUGGUGCCACGACUUGUCAACACAUACGGCCCCAGCACAGCAGAGAGAAGAGACCUCAUGCUGAGGCAGCAGGGACACUUACAAUGCAGCAGCGAUCGCCCCCUCCAAGCGCUCCUCGCUUCGACAAUGGAAGGGAACCUCUGUUUCCCCCAAAACGCUAUGCCUUAAGCGCUGCUGUGAGCGGAGCGCCUGACCCACGCUGCCUUCCCAUGCCACCUGCAUCCUGGCUGAUGGGCGCGGAAUUGACUCGACGAAGAAAUAGGUGUGUGUCAUGGCCACCUCUUCGACGACAGUGAUGUUUGUGGACGCCGGAGUUUUUAGGUCUCGUGAGCGCGAAAUAAAGAUUUGUUUUUAUGCGAA